GCUAAAAACCUAGCCCAACCAAACAUGAAUUCUUACAAUAUUACUUAACCUUACUUAAUAAACCAUUUUAAUAUUUUAGUAAAGGAGAUUGAAAAAUUUACUGGAGCUAUAAUGACAGUACCGCAAGGGAAGGAUGAAAUAUUUAAUGAAAAACCUUUAAGCAGUAAAAAGUAAAGACUAUCUCUUGUACCUUUUGCAUCAUGGUUUAACUAGUCUAAUCAAGCAAAACGUAUUUUAGUUUGACUUCCCGAAACUAAGUGAGCUACUUCAGGGCAGCUAAAAGAGCGAACCCGUCUCUGUAGCAAAAGAGUGGGAUGACCCCCAAGUAGCGGUGACAGACCUAACGAACUUAGUGAUAGCUGGUUACUCAAGAAAUGGAUCUAAGUCCAACCUGAAGCUUCCCCCAACAGUACACCAAAACAACAGCCAAACUUCAGAGUAAUUCAAAUAAGGUACAGCCUAUUUGAAACAGGACACAACCUAGACUAAUGGAUAAGAUUGGCUUUAAUAACAACCAAGUGGGCCUAAAAGCAGCCACCUUUAAAAUAGCGUCAAAGCUUUGCUGUUCUUACGCUAAAAUUUAAAAAUUUUUAUCUCAAUCCUUCACUAAUACUGAGUAAUUCUAUACUAUUAUAGAAAAUUUUAUGUUAAAACUAGUAACAAGAAGAAAAUUCUUCUCUUUAAUGUAAGUGUAAAUCAGAAAGGAUAAACCACUGAUAUUUAACGUCACUGAGCUAAAAGUAAAAACUUAUCAAGAAAACCCUACUUCCAUUUACGUUAACCUAACACAAGAACAUCUCAAGAAAGAUUAAAAGAAAAAGAAGGAACUCGGCAAAUAUUAACCUCGCCUGUUUACCAAAAACAUCGCCUCUUGAAUAUUAAUAAGAGGUCCAGCCUGCCCAGUGACCAUGUUCAACGGCCGCGGUAUCCUAACCGUGCGAAGGUAGCGUAAUCACUUGUUCUUUAAAUGAGGACUAGUAUGAAUGGCACCACGAAGGUUAUACUGUCUCCUUUUUCUAAUCAGUGAAACUAAUCUCCCCGUGAAGAAGCGGGGAUAAACUUAUAAGACGAGAAGACCCUAUGGAGCUUUAAACAAUAUAGCACCUGCCCUACAACAUAAAAAUUUCCGAGCCCCUAAAUUCCGCUGGCAUGCUGACUAUAAGUUUUUGGUUGGGGUGACCGAGGAGCACAAUAUAACCUCCAUGUUGAAAGAUAUCUAUUCUUAACUAAGACCCACCAGUCUAAGCAUCAAUACAUUGACAUCCAUUGACCCAAUAAAAUUGAACAACGAACCAAGUUACCCUAGGGAUAACAGCGCAAUCCACUUCAAGAGCUCCUAUCGACAAGUGGGUUUACGACCUCGAUGUUGGAUCAGGGUAUCCCAGUGGUGCAGCCGCUACUAAAGGUUCGUUUGUUCAACG
This 1421-nucleotide ribosomal RNA is filed under the name Incilius macrocristatus (huge-crested toad). RNAcentral's name for it is "partial 16S ribosomal RNA". It matches the Rfam family "Bacterial large subunit ribosomal RNA", at positions 133 to 2586 of the family's 2925-position model. The record is from RNAcentral. Lineage: Eukaryota; Metazoa; Chordata; Amphibia; Anura; Bufonidae.